RNAcentral lists this long non-coding RNA (1298 nucleotides) under Monodelphis domestica (gray short-tailed opossum). RNAcentral's name for it is "lncRNA (ENSMODG00000038923.1)". The record is from RNAcentral. Lineage: Eukaryota; Metazoa; Chordata; Mammalia; Didelphimorphia; Didelphidae.
UCUAAUUCUUGCUGCUGAAAUGGGUUGGAGAUAUAUAGAAAUGCUGAUGACUUAUAUGGGUUUAUUUUAUAUCCUGCAACUUUGAUACAAUUGUUAAUUAUUUCCACUAGCUUUUUAGUAGAUUCUCUAAGAUUCUUUAAGUAGACCAUCAUAUCAUCUGCAAGAGUGAUAGCUUGGUCUUCUCAUGGCCAAUUUUAAUACCUUCAAUUUCUUUUUAUUCUCUAAUUGCUACUGCUAGUGUUUCUAGUACAAUGUAAAAUAAUAGAUGUGAUAAUGGGCAUCCUUGUUUCACUCCUUAUCUUAUUGGUGUAAACCUCAAAAUUUCCUUAGACUUAUAAAUGUUGGAAAUUUCACCAUUGGGAUAUUUCAUACUUGGAAAAUUUCUUACUGAUAGUCUAUUGGAAUGGGAACUCCAUUGGCAUGGGAGGUUCCUUCUCUUCCCUUCUUAAGAUUACUUUAGGACAGAAACCCUUUGCUGAACAAUGGAAAGGACUUUGACCUAUGCUUGAGCAUAGAACAGGAAUUUCUUUGAGUCUUGAUUGAUUUUAGAAUUGAUACAAUGGAGAUACUCCACCCUAUUCAGUCCUAAUAAGAUUGAGUAAGGGCUGCAGCCUAGAUCAAAAUUUAAUUAUUCCAAUCUCUACCAUACUCAAGUUAACAGGAUUUAGAAAGGGCUGUAGCAAAGGAGUAUAGAUUUAAUCAUUUGAAAAUAUGACCUUCAACAGACAUGUGCAAAAGCCAGAAACCUCUGGGCGGUCCUGGGUUAAGCGAGAGCCUCCAUUGAAAGGGAAAUUGAUGAAGAGUGAUUGGUAGAUGUGAGGACUGAGGGGAGGCAACUUGGAUGGUGUCCUUAAAGAUAGGAGGGUCUGGAGACUCGAAGGGGGGGAGGAUUGAGUUUUUUGGUCGGUGUGGUUCCUGGGCUCUGAGGAAGCUUGCUCUGAAGGAAGCUGAAGGUGGGGGCCUCUGAGACUGUUUCUCCAUUUUGGACACGUGAGUAAUAGGGACUGAUCUCUUUUCUUUGCCCCAGCUAUCUAAGGGCUUGGGCCUUUUGGCCCAGCCUAAACAGAAGGGGUAUUUAAGCCCUAUUCCCUUCUCUCCCCUUUCUCUCUCUCUCUAUAUAUAUAUCUCUAAUUCCUUUCUUGCUCCUAUUGUAAUUAAACUCCAAAAAAGGCUGACGGCUGACUUGAGUUUUUCAUUUAGGAAUUACAUAGCUGAUUCCUUGGCGACCUUAAAUUAAUAUAUAUCAGUCUUUUAAAGUGAUUCCCUUGUAACAUUGGGAAGGCUUCUAGUUCAUCCCC